UACAGAGACUGCAAGCGUUAUUCGGAUUCACUGGGCGUAAAGGGUGCGCAGGCGGUCGGGUGUGUCAGAUGUGAAAUCCUGGGGCUCAACCCUGGAACUGCAUUGGAUACUUCCUUGCUAGAGUACUGGAGAGGAAACUGGAAUUUACGGUGUAGCAGUGAAAUGCGUAGAGAUCGUAAGGAAGACCAGUGGCGAAGGCGAGUUUCUGGACAGUUACUGACGCUGAGGCACGAAGGCCAGGGGAGCAAACGGG
This 253-nucleotide ribosomal RNA is filed under the name uncultured bacterium. Its description in RNAcentral is "partial 16S ribosomal RNA". It matches the Rfam family "Bacterial small subunit ribosomal RNA", at positions 524 to 776 of the family's 1533-position model. The record is from RNAcentral.